AGUGAACGCUGGCGGCAGGCCUAACACAUGCAAGUCGAGCGGCAGCGCGUCCGACCACCCUCGGGUGGUCGGAUGGCGGCGAGCGGCGGACGGGUGAGGAAUGCAUCGGAAUCUGCCUCGUUGUGGGGGAUAACGUAGGGAAACUUACGCUAAUACCGCAUACGACCUACGGGUGAAAGUGGGGGACCUUCGGGCCUCACGCGAUGAGAUGAGCCGAUGCCGGAUUAGCUAGUUGGCGGGGUAAAGGCCACCAAGGCGACGAUCCGUAGCUGGUCUGAGAGGAUGAUCAGCCACACUGGAACUGAGACACGGUCCAGACUCCUACGGGAGGCAGCAGUGGGGAAUAUUGGACAAUGGGGGCAACCCUGAUCCAGCCAUGCCGCGUGUGUGAAGAAGGCCUUCGGUUGUAAAGCACUUUGUUGGGUAAGAAACCGGACCGGGUUAAGUACCUCGGUUGAAUGACGGUACCCGAAACGGAAAUAAGACACCGGCGUAACUUACGUGCCAGCAGCCGCGGUAAACG
Molecule: ribosomal RNA, 523 nt
Filed under: uncultured bacterium
Lineage: Bacteria
Description: bacterial SSU rRNA
Rfam family: Bacterial small subunit ribosomal RNA
Source: RNAcentral